AACAAGCAAUAAUAGAGAAUGAAAGAGAAAAGAAAAGACUUAGUCUCCUAAGAUUUCCUAAACUCCAAUGCUAGCAAAACAAGCAAUCACAUAGAACCACCAAAU
Long non-coding RNA from Ipomoea nil (Japanese morning glory), 105 nucleotides. RefSeq lists it as uncharacterized. NCBI's taxonomy places the organism in Eukaryota, Viridiplantae, Streptophyta, Magnoliopsida, Solanales, Convolvulaceae. The record is from RefSeq and is a predicted model, not a curated record. The transcript has 3 exons.